This 84-nucleotide microRNA precursor is filed under the name Bombyx mori (domestic silkworm). Its description in RNAcentral is "mir-2807 microRNA precursor family". It matches the Rfam family "mir-2807 microRNA precursor family". Lineage: Eukaryota; Metazoa; Arthropoda; Insecta; Lepidoptera; Bombycidae. The record is from Rfam by way of RNAcentral.
UUACCUGAAAUUUGUAUGCAGCUGGAACAGUGCCCCUAGCGGCAAACAUAGGCAAACGUUCCAACUCCAUACAAAUUUGACUUA